RNAcentral lists this transfer RNA (68 nucleotides) under Cadlina japonica. Its description in RNAcentral is "tRNA-Asp". It matches the Rfam family "tRNA". Rfam says of the family: Transfer RNA (tRNA) molecules are approximately 80 nucleotides in length. Their secondary structure includes four short double-helical elements and three loops (D, anti-codon, and T loops). Further hydrogen bonds mediate the characteristic L-shaped molecular structure. tRNAs have two regions of fundamental functional importance: the anti-codon, which is responsible for specific mRNA codon recognition, and the 3' end, to which the tRNAs corresponding amino acid is attached (by aminoacyl-tRNA synthetases). tRNAs cope with the degeneracy of the genetic code in two manners: having more than one tRNA (with a specific anti-codon) for a particular amino acid; and 'wobble' base-pairing, i.e. permitting non-standard base-pairing at the 3rd anti-codon position. The record is from RNAcentral. Lineage: Eukaryota; Metazoa; Mollusca; Gastropoda; Nudibranchia; Chromodorididae.
UUUAACUUGGUUUAAAAUAAAAUAAGAGCUUGUCAAGCUUUAGAUACAACGGAAAGUUGUAGUUAAAU